UACGUAGGGUGCGAGCGUUGUCCGGAAUUAUUGGGCGUAAAGAGCUUGUAGGCGGUCUGUCGCGUCUGCUGUGAAAAUCCGGGGCUCAACCCCGGACUUGCAGUGGGUACGGGCAGACUAGAGUGUGGUAGGGGAGACUGGAAUUCCUGGUGUAGCGGUGAAAUGCGCAGAUAUCAGGAGGAACACCGAUGGCGAAGGCAGGUCUCUGGGCUAUGGCUGACACUGAGGCGCGACAGCGUGGGGAGCAAACAGG
This 253-nucleotide ribosomal RNA is filed under the name uncultured bacterium. Its description in RNAcentral is "partial 16S ribosomal RNA". It matches the Rfam family "Bacterial small subunit ribosomal RNA", at positions 524 to 776 of the family's 1533-position model. The record is from RNAcentral.